UUUUAGCCCUGAUUGAAACGGAAAUCCUUUUGUGUAGUCCCGACACUUCGGGACGAAACAAAAGAUUGCAGUGGAAAGCAGGUUCCUGG
Molecule: small RNA, 89 nt
Filed under: Flavobacterium caeni
Lineage: Bacteria; Pseudomonadati; Bacteroidota; Flavobacteriia; Flavobacteriales; Flavobacteriaceae
Description: Flavo-1 RNA
Rfam family: Flavo-1 RNA
Source: Rfam by way of RNAcentral